Molecule: ribosomal RNA, 207 nt
Filed under: uncultured bacterium
Lineage: Bacteria
Description: partial 16S ribosomal RNA
Rfam family: Bacterial small subunit ribosomal RNA
Source: RNAcentral
UGCGCAGGCGGUUCGGAAAGAGAGGUGUGAAAUCCCAGGGCUCAACCUUGGAACUGCACUUUUAACUACCGAGCUAGAGUAUGUCAGAGGGGGGUGGAAUUCCGCGUGUAGCAGUGAAAUGCGUAGAUAUGCGGAGGAACACCGAUGGCGAAGGCAGCCCCCUGGGAUAAUACUGACGCUCAUGCACGAAAGCGUGGGGAGCAAACA